RNAcentral lists this ribosomal RNA (208 nucleotides) under uncultured bacterium. RNAcentral's name for it is "partial 16S ribosomal RNA". It matches the Rfam family "Bacterial small subunit ribosomal RNA", at positions 568 to 774 of the family's 1533-position model. The record is from RNAcentral.
CUCGUAGGCGGUUCGUCGCGUCCGGUGUGAAAGUCCAUCGCUUAACGGUGGAUCCGCGCCGGGUACGGGCGGGCUUGAGUGCGGUAGGGGAGACUGGAAUUCCCGGUGUAACGGUGGAAUGUGUAGAUAUCGGGAAGAACACCAAUGGCGAAGGCAGGUCUCUGGGCCGUCACUGACGCUGAGGAGCGAAAGCGUGGGGAGGCGAGCA